RNAcentral lists this ribosomal RNA (358 nucleotides) under Escherichia coli. RNAcentral describes it as "bacterial LSU rRNA". It matches the Rfam family "Bacterial large subunit ribosomal RNA", at positions 165 to 561 of the family's 2925-position model. The record is from RNAcentral. RNAcentral also lists the same sequence under 4 other names. Lineage: Bacteria; Pseudomonadati; Pseudomonadota; Gammaproteobacteria; Enterobacterales; Enterobacteriaceae.
CAUAGGUUAAUGAGGCGAACCGGGGGAACUGAAACAUCUAAGUACCCCGAGGAAAAGAAAUCAACCGAGAUUCCCCCAGUAGCGGCGAGCGAACGGGGAGCAGCCCAGAGCCUGAAUCAGUGUGUGUGUUAGUGGAAGCGUCUGGAAAGGCGCGCGAUACAGGGUGACAGCCCCGUACACAAAAAUGCACAUGCUGUGAGCUCGAUGAGUAGGGCGGGACACGUGGUAUCCUGUCUGAAUAUGGGGGGACCAUCCUCCAAGGCUAAAUACUCCUGACUGACCGAUAGUGAACCAGUACCGUGAGGGAAAGGCGAAAAGAACCCCGGCGAGGGGAGUGAAAAAGAACCUGAAACCGUGU